GCGCGUAGCAGCCUGCGGGCCUCAUUCUGCGCAGGCGCGGGGGCGUCCCUUAGCACCUCUGAAGCAUCUGGUCCCUCCCGCGUCUGAGAUUGUCAAGCCGCGCCAGACCCGAGUCUCACGGUCUGAGGGCCUCCCGGGUGACACAGGCAGAGUGGCCGAGGCUGUGGAGCAGACCCACCGGGAGCCAGAUGAGCAGAGAGGUCUGCGUGCACACCUGGCCGUGCUCCUACUACUUAGAGCUGGACAAGCGAUGGGUCCCUGGAAAGCUUUCCUUAACCUCCUGCUCCCUGAAGUUUGCGGCUGAUGAGGCCCAGGAGACGCUGGUGAGUUUCCCGCUGUCUGGCAUCACUGCAAUCAAGAAGGAGGCUUCUCACUUCGUCUUCAGCUCCAUCACCGUCCUGGAGAAGGACAACCGCAAGCACUGGUUCAGCUCCCUGCAGCCCAGUCGCAAUGCCGCAUUCAGUGUCAUCGAGCAUUUCUGGAGAGAGCUGCUGCUCUCCCAGCCGGAAGCACCGCUUCCUGCGACCAAGGGGAAGGAGCUGACUGGCCUCAUGGCCUGUUCCCAGAAGCGCCUGGAGGACACGGCCAGAGUCCUCCACCAUCAGGGCGAGCAGCUGGACAGCAUCACCAGGGGCCUGGACAAGAUGGAAUCCGACCUGGACGUGGCUGACAGGUUGCUGACAGAGCUGGAGUCCCCUUCCUGGUGGCCCUUUAGCUCCAAGCUUUGGAAGAUGCCAUCAGAAACAAAGCUUAAGGGGGACGCUUCAACGGCUAGUCCCAGAGCUCUUGGGAAGGAAGGGGUAGUGGUCAGAAUUCCUGCUGUUGUCUCCCAGAGAACAGCAUCCCAUGUCAAACCAGGGAGUCUCACUGUCCUAGUGUCUGGACUGGAAAUCCAUGAUUCGAGUUCUGUGCUCAUGCACAGGUUCGAAAGAGAAGACGUGGAUGACAUUAAGGUUCACACGCCCUAUGAGAUCAGCAUCCGCCAGCGGUUCAUUGGGAAACCUGACAUAGCCUAUCACUUGAUAUCUGCCAGGAUGCCAGAGGCCAUCCCCGUUUUGGAGGUGCAGUUCAGCAAAAAGAUGGAAGUGUUAGGAGACGCCCUGACACCCAGCAGCACCAAAACCUCCUCCCCAGCAGAGAAGGGCUGCUCCAUGUGGCACACAGCGUCUGGGCUGAUGGACCGGGCCGUGCACCACGAGCCCUGCCCAGGCAGCCAGGACGGCCAGCCACUCCAGCUGCAGACGACCCAGCCGUUCAUUUCCGAGGGGGACGCCCAGGAACUGAGACAGAUGCCGUUACAGUUGUUACGUGGAAAGCAGUUCGGAUGCUGACAGAGACGACCGGCUGUGGUUUCCCCGGGGCCAGCGUGCUCAGCGCAGUGGGCCAGCUCUCACCGCGGCGGCCACUGUCCACGGGGACUGGAAGAGGCACCGGAUUCCCUGGACGGGUUUGGCAGAGCGCCGUGAACCAUGUCUCGCGUCUGAUGCGCUGGCCUUUCCUGCCUUGGGACUGCGGCCUGUUUGUCAGGACAGCAGUGUCCGCUGCCUGCUGGAUGCAGUUCUCCCCUCGCUGGGAGUUUUCUCCAUCAUGUCUUAACCCCCACUGCCCUGUCUGCUCCUGAUCUAGCUUUCCCUGUUGACCGUGGUACAGGGACCGCAGCCUGACGUGUAGCCACAGACGUGGCAAAGGAGGGUUCACCACAUGCUCCUGCCCUUCCUAUAACGGGGUGCAGGGUGAGGACCUGGGCUGUGAGCUCACGGUCCCCAUUCUGGGGGUGGGGGUGAGGACCCGGGCUGUGAGGUCACAGUCCCUGUACUGGAAGUGUGGGGUGAUGAGGACCCGGGCUGUGAGCACACGGUCCCCUUUCUGGGGGUACAGGGUGAGGACCCGGGCUGUGAGCUCAUGGUCCCCAUUCUAGGGGUGCAGGGUGAGGACCCGGGCUGUGAGGUCACAGUCCCCAUUCUGAGGGUGUGGGGUGAGGACCCAGGCUGUAAGGUCUCGGUCCCCAUUCUGGGGGUGCGGGGUGAGGACCCGGGCUGAGGUCACAGUCCCCAUUCUGGGGGUGCAGGGUGAGGACCCGGGCUGUGAGGUCACGGUCCUCAUACUGGGGGUGAGGGGUGAGAACCCGGGCUGUGAGGUCACGGUCCCCAUACUGGGGGUGAGGGGUGAGGACCUGGGCUCUGAGGUCAGUCCCCAUACUGGGGAUGCGGGGUGAGGACCCAGACUGUGAGGUCACGGCCCCUGUUCUAGGGGUUUGGGGUGAGGACCCGGGCUGUGAGGUCACGGUCCCCGUACUGGGGGUGCGGGAUCCUGAGGAAACUCAAGGGUCUUGCCCUGGACACCGAGGCAGAGCUGGAGAGGCAGGACGAGGCCCUGGAUGACAUCACCGCCGCCGUGGACCGGACCACCCUAAC
Molecule: RNA transcript, 2414 nt
Organism: Herpailurus yagouaroundi (jaguarundi)
Lineage: Eukaryota; Metazoa; Chordata; Mammalia; Carnivora; Felidae
Gene: SNAP47
Gene name: synaptosome associated protein 47
Exons: 6
Source: RefSeq, a predicted model, not a curated record